CUGCAGCCUAUUAAGCCAACUGAGUUCCUUUCCUCAUGGGGGGGCCCAGUGUGCAAUGGCUGCAAACAGCAGCUUCCUUGGUAGUGUAUGCAGCCUGUGUGUUGUAUUGUAUGGGUUGCUCUAAGGGACCCUGGAGACAGUC
Small nucleolar RNA from Homo sapiens (human), 142 nucleotides. Ensembl annotates it as small nucleolar RNA, H/ACA box 70G. Its record names the gene SNORA70G. Lineage: Eukaryota; Metazoa; Chordata; Mammalia; Primates; Hominidae. The record is from Ensembl.